This 1636-nucleotide unclassified non-coding RNA is filed under the name Zea mays. RNAcentral's name for it is "misc RNA Zm00001eb284600". The record is from RNAcentral. Lineage: Eukaryota; Viridiplantae; Streptophyta; Magnoliopsida; Poales; Poaceae.
GAAAAAUCAGCCGCCGCUCUGCUUCAGCAGAAUCUCGCCGCCGAAGCGCUCCUAUCCUUAUCCCCUGCGCGCCGUCGUUAUCCCGUCGGCCGCCGCUGUUCUCGCCUUCAUCUGCUCGGUCGCGCGCUCUCCCUGGUACUUUCCUGGCGCGCGCUUCUCUAGCUCGUGGAGCUCCUCCUCUGCCGAGCGAUUUUCCACUGCGGGCGCAGCUCCAGCUCGUCCCCAUGGCGGUCGCCGUCGAGCUCCCUCGCGGCGACUUUCCCCUGCCAGCUCUUUGCCCAUUCCUGGUCGCGUCUCCCUCCUCUGCUCGCGUCCCGCCAUGGCCGCUGUCCGGCCGAGCCCUGCCCCAGCCGGAUCUCGCCUCUCCCUACAGUUCGCUCUCUCCCCCCUCCAUCUCUCUCCAGUCGUGCGCCCCUCCGCUCUGCGUGGAGUUUCCCCGUCGUGCCCCUGCUCAUCUUCCCUUGGCCGCGGGCCCUUGCCAUGCUCGCCGAGCUCCCUCUGGUCUUCUCUGCUCGCCGAGAUUCUCCCUGGUGCCGCGUCGUGCCCUCCCCUCGGUUUUCAACGUUGAACGCCGCCAUCUUUCUGGUGUUCUGCGCUGGCCGCAGAUCGAAGCUUUGCUGUGCGCCCAGUCGAGCGAUCCCCUGCGCGCGCGUUCCCUGCACUUGCCCCAGCCGCGCUCUGGCCGUCCCAGCUCCACUCGGCGCCCCCUCGGCUCGCCCCCAUGGUGCUGGUCGUGUCCCUCGGCGCCGGUCGCUUCUUCUUGCUAUUCCAUGCCGCGGCAAUCGCCCUGCUGCUCCAGUGCGCCCAGCCGAGCGAUUCUCUGUUCCGUGCGCGCGGUAUUUCUCGAGCAUGCCGCGCCCAGUCCCUGCUCCUUGUUUUUCUCUGCGACGUGGAGUCUCCUCGCCGCGCGGAUCUCUCUCCUUCCUACCAUGUUCGGAUUGUGCCGCGCUUCCUGUCGCGUUCGGCCUGCUCCGGAUCCGAAGUUGGUCGCCUCGGUGCGAAAUCGCCGUCACGUCCGGGGUUUUGACAUGUCUCCCUGCUCGCCGUCAAACUUGGGUUCCCUGCUCAGCCUUUAGCGCUAGCGCGUCGCCGUGAUGUUACCGUCUCGCCGUGAUUCCCUGAUGGUUCGUGUCUCUGCAUGUUCAAAUCGUCGUUCCGCGCGUCAGCAAGAAAUUCCAAGAAUCGGGUGAAGACGAAGCUAGCAGCGCGAUAUUCCCUAAGCGCUCGACAAAUUGCCUGGAUCGGAAAAUCGCUACCGAUCUCGCGGAUUCGUGUCAGCUGUUGAAACGGUGCGAUAAUUAAUCAUGUGAUGCGGAAGAUGACUCAAGUAUCCCCAAGCGCGGGCUAAUCCGCAGGAUGAUGCUGAUGGACGAACCGGAAGAUGGAUAAUCUGAACGAGUGCCAAGCCAAAGGAUGCUCGCCAAGUGGUCGCCUAACAAACACUAACCUAGUGUUACCCAGGUUAUAGUUUUGUGCUGCUGAUGAUGGUGUUAAGUGCCGGUGGGCUCGGCCUUCUUAUAAGUCUAAGUAACCCUUCUAUACGUCUUACUGAGGAUGGUCACUUGAGCUAGCAUAUAUUUCAAACUUAUACUUUUGUAAUCACUCCGAUAAAAUAAUCUAAAAUUUUUGUAACCUG